UCUGAGAGUUUGAUCCUGGCUCAGAACGAACGCUGGCGGCAUGCCUAACACAUGCAAGUCGAACGCACUCUUCGGAGUGAGUGGCGCACGGGUGAGUAAC
Molecule: ribosomal RNA, 100 nt
Filed under: Alexandrium margalefii
Lineage: Eukaryota; Dinophyceae; Gonyaulacales; Pyrocystaceae
Description: partial Bacterial small subunit ribosomal RNA
Rfam family: Bacterial small subunit ribosomal RNA
Source: RNAcentral